Long non-coding RNA from Folsomia candida, 958 nucleotides. RefSeq lists it as uncharacterized. NCBI's taxonomy places the organism in Eukaryota, Metazoa, Arthropoda, Collembola, Entomobryomorpha, Isotomidae. The transcript is spliced from 2 exons. The record is from RefSeq and is a predicted model, not a curated record.
CCGACGAACGAAACCAAAUGGUCAGCAGCUUUCUUCGUGCACAUUUCGUAUUCAUGUUCGAAAAGUUAAUUCAAUAAUAACAGAUGCAAGAUGCACCGGGGGUUGAUUUCAUGCAGAUGCAAAUCGAAGUAAGGCAGGUCCCAGGUAAAUAAGAUUGAUCUGGACAUUGCACAUUUUUAGCAAACAAGUAUAGCAUCCCAGGUGGUGGUGCAGCUCUGACAACCCUUUCUCCUCUCCUUCUCUCUCAAGAUCAAUGUCCAACAACGGGUUGUGAAGUUGUGAAUCUUGUGAAUUGCUAUUUUAUUACGCUCGUGAUGAUCCUAGUUCAACGCUCAGGAUCAGUUCUCAUAAUCUUUCGCUUUCCUUGCCUGUGCAAGUUUUUGAUCAUCUGCUAUAAUAGUACAAGUACAGGAAAAGGAGGAAGGAGUAACCAACUAUAAAGUUCAAUUAACUCGGUCGGGUUGGUUUAUAAGAGUGGGUAUUGCAGGGAGUUGACAAUGCGUGGAAAAUAUUAUACGAUUGGCGUUAUCAAGUCAAAUAAUAAAAACAAACCCGUCCCAGCUCAACUCUGUAUCAUCACAUCGCAUAAGGAACGAGCAGCAGCCCCACGGACCAAUUUAUUUUGAUACUCUGAUAAAAAUUAUAUAGUCUCGUCUCUCCUCCGUCUAGACUGUUCAAUGCCAACUUUGACUGUUCCAUCCAUCCACCAACACUAAUUUCUAUGUGUUCACCCAUCGAUUUCACGAGCACAAGUAAAGCAUUUAAAAGUAUGAGCACACAAAUUAAGUCGUGAAUGACAAAUGAAUCAUGAGUCGUUAAUUUGUUGGGUGAUUUGAUUUAAGCUCAUGAGCGGAGCUUCGGUUUAUGAGUGAGCUUCAGCUGGAUUUGAUUUUUUGCAACAAAAUUGUGCGGAAAUACAUGUAUUUAUGUAGAUAAUAAAAAUCCGUAUUUCCAGCAA